This 468-nucleotide ribosomal RNA is filed under the name uncultured bacterium. Its description in RNAcentral is "partial 16S ribosomal RNA". It matches the Rfam family "Bacterial small subunit ribosomal RNA", at positions 28 to 507 of the family's 1533-position model. The record is from RNAcentral.
GACGAACGCUGGCGGCGUGCUUAACACAUGCAAGUCGAACGGAAAGGCCCUGCUUUUGUGGGGUGCUCGAGUGGCGAACGGGUGAGUAACACGUGAGUAACCUGCCCUUGACUUUGGGAUAACUUCAGGAAACUGGGGCUAAUACCGGAUAGGAGCUCCUGCUGCAUGGUGGGGGUUGGAAAGUUUCGGCGGUUGGGGAUGGACUCGCGGCUUAUCAGCUUGUUGGUGGGGUAGUGGCUUACCAAGGCUUUGACGGGUAGCCGGCCUGAGAGGGUGACCGGCCACAUUGGGACUGAGAUACGGCCCAGACUCCUACGGGAGGCAGCAGUCGGGAAUAUUGCACAAUGGGCGGAAGCCUGAUGUAGCAACGCUGCGUGCGGGAUGACGUCCUUCGGGUUGUAAACCGCUUUCGCCUGUGACGAAGCGUGAGUGACGGUAAUGGGUAAAGAAGCACCGGCUAACUACGUG